AACAGGCCUACUGGUGCUUCCAACUCAGCUGCAUGUGUCACGGGUUGGAUAUUAAUUGUGCAUGUAUUUUGAUUAUGUUUGUGACUUGAUCUACUGUGAUUUUGAUUUGGAUAUUGUGUGUGGUUUAGUGUUGUGAUUGGUGUUUUGGUUGUAGUGCUUUUGUGUUAUUUUUCUAUUCGUUAAUUGGCUAACAACCCGUGAACUUCGACCUGUACAAUGAGGCUAUUGAUUGGACUGUAGAAUAAGAACAGGAAAUAAAGACCGGACACCGAGAAGGAGAGGAGCAGAAGACUACCGGAGACAGCUUGAAGCGGUGGAAGAAAUUACUACGCGAGACACAAGAUCUACGAGCAAGAGGAUCCACGCAGGAUCCCGUAUACCCAUAAGGCUCGACGUGCGCACCCCGGGGAAUGGGCUACUACUGCCUGUGACCCGGACAGAGUCCCUUUCCUGCCAGUUAGACGAAGGCCGAACUCCGGUGGAAAGAAGCGGAUUGCUCGGCUGGUCGCCGGUGUACGCUGCAUCUCAGGGACUGGGACAUUUGCAUAGAUAUGGUUUUUCAUAUAUAUAUUUUAUUGCUCGAUGUUUUAAGUAUUGUAAUGUAAUUUAUUGUUAAUGUAAAUACCUAUUGAAGUUGUGGUGAAAUAAAAUAUUGAUUAAAGUAUA
Molecule: long non-coding RNA, 666 nt
Organism: Esox lucius (northern pike)
Lineage: Eukaryota; Metazoa; Chordata; Actinopteri; Esociformes; Esocidae
Exons: 2
Source: RefSeq, a predicted model, not a curated record